CGUAAAUAAGGACUGUGUCACUAAUUUUUCGAUAAUACUCGUGUUAUAGAUUUGUUUUACCGAGAAUAUUGCCAUUAUAAAGCAAAAUAUCCGUCUUUCCUAUAUUUUUUUAAAUACCGGCAUCCGAGGCACUUCCAAAGUAACCAAAUUUUUGAAGUUUUAAGACACCUAAUAAACAUUUUGGCACUACUAAUUUUGCUCUUGUAAUUAAAGAAAAAAAUCACUCUGUAAAAAAUCGAACCACUUUUCACAUCAUACACAAAAAAUACGAUUACGAAUUAAUUACGUGAAUUUGACAUUUGAGGUUAUGUGUGCCCUUUGAUGGUUGUCUCAAAUUUUGGUGUUGUAGUUAAACUAAAAUGCCCCUUUUGGCAUCUUGGAAGUGUGAACACAGCUACAUUGAAAGUUAUGAUUGCAAGGACUGCAAUUUCAAAACAGACCUGUCUAUUUUGUUCAAACAGCACGUUAAAAACUACCAUGGCCGUAGAAAACAAAACCAUGAAGUUACCAUUAAAAGUUACAUUUGUGGUAAAUGUAGCUUUGAAACAUAUUUUGCAAUGAAAUGGUUCCAGCACACUAUAAGAUGUAUGAAAAAUAAAGAAAAUCGUGAACUAACAAAUUGUCCAUACCAUUUAAACAAGCAAAACUUUAAAUAGCAUGAAUGCCAAGAUUGUCCCUAUAGAGCUAAAUUGUACCCCACUUAAAACGUCACAUAAAUGCGUACCAUUUAAACGAGAGCGACAUUAAAUGGCAUGAAUGCCAAAAAUGUCCAUACAAAGCCAAAUACAAUUCAUGUUUGAAAAAACACAUAAACGUGCACCGUUUAGAUGAACGCGAUGUUAAAUGGUACGAAUGCAAACAUUGUCCAUACAAAUCUAAACAUAAUUUUGCUUUGAAGUGUCACGUGUGAAUGCCAAGAAUGUCCAUAUAAGGCUAAGGCAAAAGCUAAUUUAAACAGACAUAUAAAUGCACACCAUGUGGAUGGACGAAGUAUGGCGGUGCAAACGGUCUACAUAAAUGUGGAAUAAUUUAAAAAUGUAAAUUUUUUGUGAUUGGUUUUUGUAAACUUGAUAUAAUAAAGUUGUUUUGUAAA
Zophobas morio is the source of this 1093-nucleotide long non-coding RNA. RefSeq lists it as uncharacterized. The transcript is spliced from 2 exons. The record is from RefSeq and is a predicted model, not a curated record. Lineage: Eukaryota; Metazoa; Arthropoda; Insecta; Coleoptera; Tenebrionidae.